RNAcentral lists this ribosomal RNA (324 nucleotides) under uncultured Pseudomonas sp. RNAcentral describes it as "bacterial SSU rRNA". It matches the Rfam family "Bacterial small subunit ribosomal RNA", at positions 1058 to 1382 of the family's 1533-position model. The record is from RNAcentral. Lineage: Bacteria; Pseudomonadati; Pseudomonadota; Gammaproteobacteria; Pseudomonadales; Pseudomonadaceae.
GCUCGUGUCGUGAGAUGUUGGGUUAAGUCCCGUAACGAGCGCAACCCUUGUCCUUAGUUACCAGCACGUUAUGGUGGGCACUCUAAGGAGACUGCCGGUGACAACCGGAGGAAGGUGGGGAUGACGUCAAGUCAUCAUGGCCCUUACGGCCUGGGCUACACACGUGCUACAAUGGUCGGUACAAAGGGUUGCCAAGCCGCGAGGUGGAGCUAAUCCCAUAAAACCGAUCGUAGUCCGGAUCGCAGUCUGCAACUCGACUGCGUGAAGUCGGAAUCGCUAGUAAUCGUGAAUCAGAAUGUCACGGUGAAUACGUUCCCGGGCCUU